This 71-nucleotide transfer RNA is filed under the name Loxodonta africana (African savanna elephant). It matches the Rfam family "tRNA". Rfam says of the family: Transfer RNA (tRNA) molecules are approximately 80 nucleotides in length. Their secondary structure includes four short double-helical elements and three loops (D, anti-codon, and T loops). The record is from Rfam by way of RNAcentral. Lineage: Eukaryota; Metazoa; Chordata; Mammalia; Proboscidea; Elephantidae.
GCACUGGUGGUUCAGGGUUAGAAUUCUUACCUUCCAUGCAGGAGACUUGGGUUCAAUUUCCGGCCAAUGUA